This 254-nucleotide ribosomal RNA is filed under the name uncultured bacterium. Its description in RNAcentral is "partial 16S ribosomal RNA". It matches the Rfam family "Bacterial small subunit ribosomal RNA", at positions 524 to 776 of the family's 1533-position model. The record is from RNAcentral.
UACGUAGGGUGCAAGCGUUAAUCGGAAUUACUGGGCGUAAAGCGUGCGCAGGCGGUGAUGUAAGACAGAUGUGAAAUCCCCGGGCUCAACCUGGGAACUGCAUUUGUGACUGCAUCGCUGGAGUGCGGCAGAGGGGGGAUGGAAUUCCGCGUGUAGCAGUGAAAUGCGUAGAUAUGUGGAGGAACACCGAUGGCGAAGGCAAUCCCCUGGGCCUGCACUGACGCUCAUGCACGAAAGCGUGGGGAGCAAACAGG